RNAcentral lists this ribosomal RNA (839 nucleotides) under uncultured bacterium. RNAcentral describes it as "bacterial SSU rRNA". It matches the Rfam family "Bacterial small subunit ribosomal RNA", at positions 29 to 902 of the family's 1533-position model. The record is from RNAcentral.
ACGAACGCUGGCGGCGUGCCUAAUGUAUGCAAGUCGAACGCAGCGGCCGAGUGCCGGCUGCGUGGCGAACGGCUGAGGAACACGUGGGUAACCACCCCCGGAGUGGGGGAUACCCCGUCGAAAGACAGGACAAUCCCGCAUACGCUCUACGGAGGAAAGCCGCAAGGCGCUCCGGGACGGGCCUGCGGCCCAUCAGGUAGUUGGUGUGGUAAUGGCGCACCAAGCCAGUGACGGGUACCCGGUCUGAGAGGACGGCCGGGCAGACUGGGACUGCGACACGGCCCAGACUCCUACGGGAGGCAGCAGCAAGGAAUUUUCCCCAAUGGGCACACGCCUGAGGGAGCAACGCCGCGUGGAGGACGACGGCCUUCGGGUUGUAAACUCCUUUCGGGUGGGACGAAACUGACGGUACCACCAGAAGCAGCCCCGGCUAACUCUGUGCCAGCAGCCGCGGUAAGACAGAGGGGGCAAGCGUUGUCCGGAGUUACUGGGCGUAAAGGGCGCGGAGGCGGUCUGCUGCGUCGGCGCUGAAAGCGCCCCGCUUAACGGGGCGAGGCGCGCCGAUACGAGCAGGCUGGAGGCGAGCAGAGGGUGGUGGAAUUCCGGGUGGAGCGGUGAAAUGCGUAGAGAUCCGGAGGAACGCCGGUGGAGCAGUCGGCCACCUGGGCUCGACCUGACGCUGCGGCGCGACCGCGUGGGGAGCAAACCGGAUUAGAUACCCGGGUAGUCCACGCCGUAAACGAUGCCGGCUCGGCGUUUGGCGCGCGUGAGCGUGCUGGGCGCCUUAGCUAACGCGGUAAGCCGGCCGCCUGGGGACUACGAGCGCAAGCUUAAAACUU